This 407-nucleotide ribosomal RNA is filed under the name uncultured bacterium. RNAcentral describes it as "partial 16S ribosomal RNA". It matches the Rfam family "Bacterial small subunit ribosomal RNA", at positions 30 to 526 of the family's 1533-position model. The record is from RNAcentral.
AUUGAACGCUGGCGGCAGGCCUAACACAUGCAAGUCGAGCGGAGCGGCGGACGGGUGAGGAAUGCUUAGGAAUCGGCCAGGUAGUGGGGGAUAACGUCAGGAAACGGGCGCUAAGACAGAAUACUAUCAGCUGAGACUAGGUCGGAUUGUCUAGUUGGUGGGGUAAAGGCCUACCAAGGCGACGGUCCGUAUCUGGUCUGAGAGGAUGAUCAGUCACACUGGAACUGAGACACGGUCCAUACUCCUACGGGAGGCAGCAGUGGGGAAUAUUGCACAAUGGGCGAAAGCCUGAUCCAGCCAUGCCGCGUGUGUGAAGAAGGUCUUCGGAUUGUAAAGCACUUUAAGUUGGGAGGCGUUACCAACAGAAUAAGCACCGGCUAACUUCGUGCCAGCAGCCGCGGUAAUAC